Molecule: ribosomal RNA, 1123 nt
Filed under: Escherichia coli
Lineage: Bacteria; Pseudomonadati; Pseudomonadota; Gammaproteobacteria; Enterobacterales; Enterobacteriaceae
Description: partial 23S ribosomal RNA
Rfam family: Bacterial large subunit ribosomal RNA
Source: RNAcentral
CGGCGAUUUCCGAAUGGGGAAACCCAGUGUGAUUCGUCACACUAUCAUUAACUGAAUCCAUAGGUUAAUGAGGCGAACCGGGGGAACUGAAACAUCUAAGUACCCCGAGGAAAAGAAAUCAACCGAGAUUCCCCCAGUAGCGGCGAGCGAACGGGGAGGAGCCCAGAGCCUGAAUCAGUGUGUGUGUUAGUGGAAGCGUCUGGAAAGGCGCGCGAUACAGGGUGACAGCCCCGUACACAAAAAUGCACAUACUGUGAGCUCGAUGAGUAGGGCGGGACACGUGGUAUCCUGUCUGAAUAUGGGGGGACCAUCCUCCAAGGCUAAAUACUCCUGACUGACCGAUAGUGAACCAGUACCGUGAGGGAAAGGCGAAAAGAACCCCGGCGAGGGGAGUGAAAAAGAACCUGAAACCGUGUACGUACAAGCAGUGGGAGCCUCUUAAUGGGGUGACUGCGUACCUUUUGUAUAAUGGGUCAGCGACUUAUAUUCUGUAGCAAGGUUAACCGAAUAGGGGAGCCGAAGGGAAACCGAGUCUUAACUGGGCGUUAAGUUGCAGGGUAUAGACCCGAAACCCGGUGAUCUAGCCAUGGGCAGGUUGAAGGUUGGGUAACACUAACUGGAGGACCGAACCGACUAAUGUUGAAAAAUUAGCGGAUGACUUGUGGCUGGGGGUGAAAGGCCAAUCAAACCGGGAGAUAGCUGGUUCUCCCCGAAAGCUAUUUAGGUAGCGCCUCGUGAAUUCAUCUCCGGGGGUAGAGCACUGUUUCGGCAAGGGGGUCAUCCCGACUUACCAACCCGAUGCAAACUGCGAAUACCGGAGAAUGUUAUCACGGGAGACACACGGCGGGUGCUAACGUCCGUCGUGAAGAGGGAAACAACCCAGACCGCCAGCUAAGGUCCCAAAGUCAUGGUUAAGUGGGAAACGAUGUGGGAAGGCCCAGACAGCCAGGAUGUUGGCUUAGAAGCAGCCAUCAUUUAAAGAAAGCGUAAUAGCUCACUGGUCGAGUCGGCCUGCGCGGAAGAUGUAACGGGGCUAAACCAUGCACCGAAGCUGCGGCAGCGACGCUUAUGCGUUGUUGGGUAGGGGAGCGUUCUGUAAGCCUGUGAAGGUGGCCUGUGAGGG